Camelina sativa (false flax) is the source of this 191-nucleotide non-coding RNA. The record is from RefSeq and is a predicted model, not a curated record. Lineage: Eukaryota; Viridiplantae; Streptophyta; Magnoliopsida; Brassicales; Brassicaceae.
AUGAUGAAUAUGCCAAGCUCAUCAGGAGAAUGAAUCCACCCAGAGUUGUAAUAGACAACAACGCCUGCGAUGAUGCCACCGUUAUUCAGGUUGAUAGUGUGAACAAACAUGGGACUCUGUUGGAAGUAGUGCAAGUGCUCACUGAUACGGAUCUUGUGAUCAAGAAAGCUUACAUCUCUUCCGAUGGAGGU